CCUCCUCCUCGUGCUGGGGAUCAGGUGUGCAGUCUCAAUCCCCGUAAUGUGUGGAGGCAGGGAAAGGGCUUCGUCACCCUUGGCGUCAUGUCUUCGGUGUUGGCUGCUUCCAAUCCGCUAGUGCUAUCCUCGUGUGCCAGGACACGA
Molecule: small nucleolar RNA, 147 nt
Organism: Rhinolophus ferrumequinum (greater horseshoe bat)
Lineage: Eukaryota; Metazoa; Chordata; Mammalia; Chiroptera; Rhinolophidae
Source: Ensembl